This 28-nucleotide small RNA is filed under the name Bombyx mori (domestic silkworm). Its description in RNAcentral is "ovarian small RNA-26306". The record is from RNAcentral. Lineage: Eukaryota; Metazoa; Arthropoda; Insecta; Lepidoptera; Bombycidae.
UCAUUAGGAUAUGAAUUUAAUGGUCUGC